This 492-nucleotide ribosomal RNA is filed under the name uncultured bacterium. Its description in RNAcentral is "partial 16S ribosomal RNA". It matches the Rfam family "Bacterial small subunit ribosomal RNA", at positions 30 to 507 of the family's 1533-position model. The record is from RNAcentral.
AUUGAACGCUGGCGGCAUGCUUUACACAUGCAAGUCGAACGGUAACAGGCCUUCGGGUGCUGACGAGUGGCGAACGGGUGAGUAAUGCAUCGGAACGUACCCAGAGGUGGGGGAUAACGCAGCGAAAGCUGUGCUAAUACCGCAUGUGAUCUGAGGAUGUAAGCGGGGGACCGAGCAGCAAUGUUUGGCCUCGCGCCUUUGGAGCGGCCGAUGUCGGAUUAGCUAGUUGGUGGGGUAAAGGCCUACCAAGGCGACGAUCCGUAGCUGGUCUGAGAGGACGACCAGCCACACUGGGACUGAGACACGGCCCAGACUCCUACGGGAGGCAGCAGUGGGGAAUUUUGGACAAUGGGCGCAAGCCUGAUCCAGCAAUGCCGCGUGCGGGAAGAAGGCCUUCGGGUUGUAAACCGCUUUUGGCAGGAACGAAACGGUGUCCGCUAAUACCGGGCGCUAAUGACGGUACCUGCAGAAUAAGCACCGGCUAACUACGUG